Molecule: ribosomal RNA, 497 nt
Filed under: uncultured bacterium
Lineage: Bacteria
Description: partial 16S ribosomal RNA
Rfam family: Bacterial small subunit ribosomal RNA
Source: RNAcentral
GAUGAACGCUGGCGGCGGGCCUAAUACAUGCAAGUCGAGCGAACAGACGAGGAGCUUUCCUCUCUUACGGUAGCGUCGGACGGGUGAGUAACACGUGGAUAACCUACCUAUAAGACUGGGAUAACUUCGGGAAACCGGAGCUAAUACCGGAUAAUAUAUUGAACCGCAUGGUUCAAGAGUGAAAGACGGUUUUGCUGUCACUUAUAGAUGGAUCCGCGCCGCAUUAGCUAGUUGGUAAGGUAACGGCUUACCAAGGCAACGAUGCGUAGCCGACCUGAGAGGGUGAUCGGCCACACUGGAACUGAGACACGGUCCAGACUCCUACGGGAGGCAGCAGUAGGGAAUCUUCCGCAAUGGGCGAAAGCCUGACGGAGCAACGCCGCGUGAGUGAUGAAGGUCUUCGGAUCGUAAAGCUCUGUUAUUAGGGAAGAACAAAUGUGUAAGUAACUAUGCACGUCUUGACGGUACCUAAUCAGAAAGCCACGGCUAACUACGUG